This 538-nucleotide transfer RNA is filed under the name uncultured cyanobacterium. Its description in RNAcentral is "partial 16S-23S ribosomal RNA intergenic spacer". The stretch from base 211 to 283 matches the Rfam family "tRNA". Lineage: Bacteria; Bacillati; Cyanobacteriota. The record is from RNAcentral.
CAGGGAGACAACAAAAUGUUUAAUAUUAUUAUUUUGUCACCUUAGGUCGAUCGGUAUCUCGCAUUCUUAAUUUAUUGAGGAUUUCAUUUCCUAAGUUUUUCUAGGUCACACCCAUUAUUUUCCUGGGCCAUUAGCUCAGGUGGUUAGAGCGCACCCCUGAUAAGGGUGAGGUCCCUGGUUCAAGUCCAGGAUGGCCCAUAUCUCUAUGUUGGGGGUAUAGCUCAGUUGGUAGAGCGCCUGCUUUGCAAGCAGGAUGUCAGCGGUUCGAGUCCGCUUACCUCCACUGAUUACCACCUCUUCCAUUAUUUGUAGAAAGGAAAAUUUUUGUUGUGAUCAUAAUUCUGAACGAAUCUAGCUUCCUAAUGAAACCAUUAAGAUGCUGGACUCAUUGAAUUAAUUUCAUUGUUUUCAGAGAACCUUGACAACUGCAUAGAUUAUUUUUAAAGACAAUAAGCAUCAUUAAUGAUGCAGAUUUAUUAUUUGUGCAAAUGCAUUAAUAACAAUUCUAUUAAGCUGAUGCUUCAAUUUUGAAGUUAUU